RNAcentral lists this ribosomal RNA (406 nucleotides) under uncultured bacterium. RNAcentral describes it as "partial 16S ribosomal RNA". It matches the Rfam family "Bacterial small subunit ribosomal RNA", at positions 29 to 526 of the family's 1533-position model. The record is from RNAcentral.
AAUGAACGCUGGCGGCAGGCCUAACACAUGCAAGUCGAGCGAGCGGCGGACGGGUGAGUAAUGUCUGGGAAACUGCCUGAUGGAGGGGGAUAACUACUGGAAACGGUAGCUAAUACCGCAUACCAUGCGCUGUGCCCAGAUGGGAUUAGCUGGUAGGUGGGGUAACGGCGCACCUAGGCGACGAUCCCUAGCUGGUCUGAGAGGAUGACCCGCCACACUGGAACUGAGACACGGCCCAGACUCCUACGGGAGGCAGCAGUGGGGAAUAGUGCACAAUGGGCGCAAGCCUGAUACAGCCAUGCCGCGUGUGUGAAGAAGGCCUGCGGGUUGUAAAGCACUUUCAGCGGGGAGGCGUUACCCGAAGAAGAAGCACCGGCUAACUCCGUGCCAGCCGCCGCGGUAAUUC